AUUAACAAGAGUGAUGGCAGCAGUGAGGGAAACUGAAAAACACAGAAGCAUCAAGUCAUUUUUCAUAGAAUGAUUUAUCAUUUACCUGGGGAUGGACACUGUCAAGGUAGCCCAAGAUGCUGGGAUAAAACAAAAUGUGAGCUGUGGGCAGGUCUUAUCUAAACCCCGCCCCUCACUCCUGCUGCUGAGGUGGCUGUGGAGAGUUCUGGGAAAAACAACAAAGGCAAUAGAGGAAAAAGAGAGGGGGGAGGGCGGACCAUGAGCUCACCCCCUGAAUGCUGGCCAAGUCGAUAGUCAGAUCUGGCCUGCAUAGCAGCAGAAAGCAAAGGAGAGACAGAAAGAGUGAGAGAGGGAGGGUAGAAGAGGACGAAUCCCUCCGCCGAGCCUGUCUUCACAUCAGCAGCAGAAAAAAAAGAAAACAAAACCAUAUUCUUACGCAAUGCUGAAAGUCCUGUGCUGCAGGCAAACAACAUGAAACAGCUGAGAAACUCUUGCCGUCUCACCUCAGCCUCACCAUUACAUUCAGGAAAACACCAGCAGACUUGCUGAGCAAAGCAUGCUAUAACUUUCAUGUGUCUCAGAGAAAAAGAAAUGAAAAUUAACGUCUCUGAUAUUUCAAACAAACACGCUGGAUUGGUCCGUCACAUAAUGAAAUUUCACAGGCAAAAAAUAAAUAAAUAAAUAAAUAACAAUUGUCUAUCAUCAAUAGUGUAAUGAUUUGUCACUGUCUAUCCAAGGGGUUUUCUGUUCAUCAUUCACUGUUAUUCCACCGGUCAGUAUUGUGACCAUCAACAUAUUUACUCAUUCUAUGACCACACUCAACAAAACUGAAUAUAUGUCAAUUCAUAUAUUACUAGACACCUUAAAGAUAAUGUGGACCAAAAAUCUUUGUCAUAUCAUGUAUUAACAUACCUUUCGUUUUGGAGCUUUGAUGCAGCCGUCAUCUACUCAAGGUGCAAACCAGAAUUAAACUGCUCUGGUCAUGUGACAGUUUGCACUAGCUAUGUGACAGUGUACAUAUUUAAUUGAGACCCUUCAUUAUUUCAAUAUUUGCAGGAAAUGCACUAAGUAGAAAAAAGAUUAAGUAUAAAUUCAGCAACACCAAAGCUCCAAAAGUAUCAAAUAUUUAUUUAAAAAACUUUCGCAUAGCGUGUGACAUUUCGAGCAUGCAGCCUCUUCAUCAGACAGUUUCUGAC
Molecule: long non-coding RNA, 1196 nt
Organism: Cyprinus carpio carpio
Lineage: Eukaryota; Metazoa; Chordata; Actinopteri; Cypriniformes; Cyprinidae
Source: Ensembl